UACGUAGGGCGCAAGCGUUAUCCGGAAUUAUUGGGCGUAAAGAGCUCGUAGGCGGUUUGUCGCGUCUGCUGUGAAAGACCGGGGCUCAACUCCGGUUCUGCAGUGGGUACGGGCAGACUAGAGUGCAGUAGGGGAGACUGGAAUUCCUGGUGUAGCGGUGAAAUGCGCAGAUAUCGGGAAGAACACCCGUGGCGAAGGCGGUUCUCUGGGACGGUACUGACGCUGAGACGCGAAAGCGUGGGGAGCGAACAGG
Molecule: ribosomal RNA, 253 nt
Filed under: uncultured bacterium
Lineage: Bacteria
Description: partial 16S ribosomal RNA
Rfam family: Bacterial small subunit ribosomal RNA
Source: RNAcentral